This 460-nucleotide ribosomal RNA is filed under the name uncultured bacterium. Its description in RNAcentral is "partial 16S ribosomal RNA". It matches the Rfam family "Bacterial small subunit ribosomal RNA", at positions 338 to 795 of the family's 1533-position model. The record is from RNAcentral.
CCUACGGGAGGCAGCAGUGAGGAAUAUUGGUCAAUGGGCGAGAGCCUGAACCAGCCAAGUCGCGUGAAGGAUGACGGUCCUACGGGUUGUAAACUUCUUUUGUCAGGGAGCAAUUGAGUCCACGCGUGGGCUUAGCGAGAGUACCUGAAGAAAAAGCAUCGGCUAACUCCGUGCCAGCAGCCGCGGUAAUACGGAGGAUGCGAUGGUUAUCCGGAUUUAUUGGGUUAAAAGGGUGCGUAGGCGGAAUAUCAAGUCAGCGGUAAAAUUUCGGGGCUCAACCCCGUCGUGACGUUGAAACUGAGGGUCGUGAGUGGGCGAGAAGUAUGCGGAAUGCGUGGUGUAGCGGUGAAAUGCAUAGAUAUCACGCAGAACUCCGAUUGCGAAGGCAGCAUACCGGCGCCCAACUGACGCUGAAGCACGAAAGCGUGGGUAUCGAACAGGAUUAGAUACCCUUGUAGUC